AGUGAACGCUGGCGGUAGGCCUAACACAUGCAAGUCGAACGGCAGCACAGUAAGAGCUUGCUCUUACGGGUGGCGAGUGGCGGACGGGUGAGGAAUACAUCGGAAUCUACUUUUUCGUGGGGGAUAACGUAGGGAAACUUACGCUAAUACCGCAUACGACCUACGGGUGAAAGCAGGGGAUCUUCGGACCUUGCGCGAUUGAAUGAGCCGAUGUCGGAUUAGCUAGUUGGCGGGGUAAAGGCCCACCAAGGCGACGAUCCGUAGCUGGUCUGAGAGGAUGAUCAGCCACACUGGAACUGAGACACGGUCCAGACUCCUACGGGAGGCAGCAGUGGGGAAUAUUGGACAAUGGGCGCAAGCCUGAUCCAGCCAUGCCGCGUGGGUGAAGAAGGCCUUCGGGUUGUAAAGCCCUUUUGUUGGGAAAGAAAAGCAGCAGGUUAAUACCCCGCUGUUUUGACGGUACCCAAAGAAUAAGCACCGGCUAACUUCGUG
Molecule: ribosomal RNA, 492 nt
Filed under: uncultured bacterium
Lineage: Bacteria
Description: partial 16S ribosomal RNA
Rfam family: Bacterial small subunit ribosomal RNA
Source: RNAcentral